UUGCUUUGACAGCACAUACACUAAAAUUGGAAUGAUACAGAAAAGAUUAGCAAUGGCCCCUUGCAAGGGUGACACACACAUUUAUGAAACAAUCCCUAUUUUU
Molecule: small nuclear RNA, 103 nt
Filed under: Saimiri boliviensis boliviensis (Bolivian squirrel monkey)
Lineage: Eukaryota; Metazoa; Chordata; Mammalia; Primates; Cebidae
Source: RNAcentral